UCCUUGGUAGUGCAACUGGUUAGCUCGCGAACCUCGAAAGGCUCGAUUCUGGUUCGAUUCCCGGCUGAGGUG
Non-coding RNA from Parelaphostrongylus tenuis, 72 nucleotides. The record is from the annotation of a GenBank genome assembly. NCBI's taxonomy places the organism in Eukaryota, Metazoa, Nematoda, Chromadorea, Rhabditida, Metastrongylidae.